RNAcentral lists this transfer RNA (68 nucleotides) under Rattus norvegicus (Norway rat). It matches the Rfam family "tRNA". From Rfam's summary of the family: Transfer RNA (tRNA) molecules are approximately 80 nucleotides in length. Their secondary structure includes four short double-helical elements and three loops (D, anti-codon, and T loops). The record is from Rfam by way of RNAcentral. Lineage: Eukaryota; Metazoa; Chordata; Mammalia; Rodentia; Muridae.
GAGGAUUUAGCUCAGUGGUAGAGCGCUUGCCUAGCAAGCAUAAGGCCCUGGGUUCAGUCCCCAGCUCC